Macrobrachium nipponense is the source of this 464-nucleotide long non-coding RNA. RefSeq lists it as uncharacterized. Lineage: Eukaryota; Metazoa; Arthropoda; Malacostraca; Decapoda; Palaemonidae. The record is from RefSeq and is a predicted model, not a curated record. The transcript is spliced from 3 exons.
CUCGGCCCAAGGCUUGACGACGCCACGAUCAACCCUUUUCAAGGAAAUACAAGAAUGUCUUUGCGAAUAUCGGCUUCAAUCUGACACUUGAAAAUGCACCAAGAAAACGUCCAUCGUCUGGCAACGUCUCAAAAUAGUUCUCAAUCGAAAACACAAAUGUCCACACCUAGAAAAAGGCUGUUGGCUGGUUUGCGCAGUGGGAAGAAGAUUUUCCCACUGAAGGACAAGGUUCCUGCGCCAGUCAUCGUGACCGUCUUCCUAGGAGCAACCAUCUUCAUAAUCAUCUUCACCACAGCCAAACCCAGCUCUCUGGAUCCCAUGGGACAAUACAAAGUUGAUGACGGCAUCGAGGAGCGAGGAGAGACCCUCCCCCACCUAGAUUCAUGUUCCUUCACGACUGGCUUCCGGAGGAGGCUCGCAGCCACGGUGGCACAGGUGGAGAGAGAAAUCCAUCGACUCGCAGG